Molecule: long non-coding RNA, 1906 nt
Organism: Passer domesticus (house sparrow)
Lineage: Eukaryota; Metazoa; Chordata; Aves; Passeriformes; Passeridae
Exons: 2
Source: RefSeq, a predicted model, not a curated record
CAGGAAAGACAUGGAGGGGCUGGAGCGUGUCCAGGGAAGGGCAACGGAGCUGGGGAAGGGUCUGGAGCACAAGUGCUGUGAGGAGCAGCUGAGGGAGCUGGGGGUGUUCAGCCUGGAGAAAAGGAGGCUCAGGGGGACCUCAUCACUCUCUGCAGCUGCCUGACAGCAGGGUGCAGCCAGGUGGGGUCAGGCUCUUCUCCCAGGGCAGAAUGAGAGAGCAUCUGGGUCAAUCCACAUCAGCAUCCUUACAGGACCAGACCAAAGAUUGAACUAAGCCACUAAAUCAGCAUGACCAAAUACCUCUCUGGAGUGCCUCUGUGCAGCUGUACUGCUCCACAGGGAGCAAAAAAGGAGGAUUUACAGCACUGCAUCUAACUGCAGGGUUAAAUGUCAUGGUGAUCACAGCAACAUGGUGCGAUGGCUGUGUUGGAAGAGCAAACUAGGAAGACAGGGAGGAGGAGUGUAAGAAUAUGAUGCACAAACCAGAACAAGUCCAACAAAGGGACAUGUAGUUGAUUAAGCACUUGAAGAAUCUUCCUUAUGAGGAAAGGCUUAGAGAGUUAAAACUCUUUACCCUGGAGAAGACUCGGGGUCCUAAUCAGUGUUUGUACUUCAUGGGAGGGAAUAAAGAAGACAGAGCCAGAGUCUUCUCAGUGGUAUCCAGUGAGAGGACAAGAGGCAGUGGCACAAGUGGAAAAGUGGGGAAUUCUGUUUAAACACAAGAAAAAGCUUUCUAGUUGUAAAAGGUGGUCAAACAUUGGAAAAGGUUACCCAGAGACUUUAGAGUCACCUUUCUUGAAGAUAUUCAAAACCCACCUGAGAACAACCUGUUCACUCUGCUUGGAUAUGUUGGAGUAAAUUAUCUCCACAAGUUCCUUCUAGCCUUUCUGGAUCUGGGACUCUAUCAAGUAGUGGUAAAUAGUGGUGCAUGGAGAAACAUUAGAGGUAUACAUUGCUCCUUUUCCUGGUUUGUCCUUUUAGCUUCUGCAAUCAGUAGAUCAAGUAUUAGUCAUGUUUAAUAGUCAUUGAUAGAUCCUCUCUGCAUAGAUUUGUUUAAUUAUUUUAAAUCUAUUUAUGCAUAUGAUGUCUCUGGCAUGUUCUGAUAAUGAAUGCCACAAUUUGAUUAUGCAAAACAUAAUUAAUGCAGCCAGAACUAUAAAAUCAGGCCAGUGAAUCCCCCAAAGCACAAAGUUCUUAGCCAUUGCUGUAGGUAGGAAGGUUGCAUGGGAAUCAGAGGGAGGGUGUGACUCUGUACAAACUAAACACAUCCCUAUAAUAUUUGGUGCCUUUUAUUUACAGUUGCAGAUCAUUGAGAAAAUCUAGUCUGCUGUUGUGUUUUCUGCACUUUGAUCUCUCUGCUCCUUCUUCCCCUUCACUGUCUUUGAAAGGCUUCUUUCUCAUUUGUGUUCCUUGCAGCUGCUAAUGGAGCCAUUUUCACUCAGUGCCCACCCUGUCUGAGCCACUAACAUGACUGCUUCUUGAUGAGGGAGUUUUGACCCCAGAUGACUUUCAUGUACUUCAAAGAAGAUAGUCCAGCAAAGGAGGAGAUAUGAUUGUGGGAAAAUUAUGUUAGAUGAACUUGCCUCUCUGCAACCAUGAUAAAGGCUUAUAUCUAAAAUAAGUUAAUAGGUGAAUUUCUGAAGAUCUUUAUAUACACUUAUCUAUGACUAUUUAAAUGUAUUAUGCCAUCUCACACAUUUGAAAGCCUUUCUGUAAAGCCAUGUGAAUUUAUAGAAUACAGUGCAAAGUCUGGUAUUAGAGUAUGUUUAUGCUUGGACAACAUCAUCUAAUUCAUGUAUUGUGUUAAAGUCUUAGAAAACUACUCUUAAAGCUUUCCUCAAGCAAUACAAGAUGAAUAACUAAUGAAUUUUCAAUAAUGUAAAAAAUAAACUCUUCUUUUAAAAAU